UGGGGAAUAUUGGGCAAUGGAGGGAACUCUGACCCAGCGACGCCGCGUGCGGGAUGAAGGCCUUCGGGUUGUAAACCGCUUUCAGCAGGGAAGAAGCGAAAGUGACGGUACCUGCAGAAGAAGCACCGGCUAACUAUGUGCCAGCAGCCGCGGUAAUACAUAGGGUGCAAGCGUUGUCCGGAAUUAUUGGGCGUAAAGAGCUCGUAGGUGGUUCGAUACGUCGGAUGUGAAAAUCAGGGGCUCAACCCCUGACCUGCAUCCGGUACGGUCGAGCUAGAGUUUGGUAGGGGAGACUGGAAUUCCUGGUGUAGCGGUGGAAUGCGCAGAUAUCAGGAGGAACACCAAUGGCGAAGGCAGGACUCUGGGCCAUUACUGACACUGAGGAGCGAAAGCGUGGGGAGCGAACAGG
This 409-nucleotide ribosomal RNA is filed under the name uncultured bacterium. RNAcentral describes it as "bacterial SSU rRNA". It matches the Rfam family "Bacterial small subunit ribosomal RNA", at positions 355 to 776 of the family's 1533-position model. The record is from RNAcentral.